Molecule: long non-coding RNA, 730 nt
Filed under: Drosophila guanche
Lineage: Eukaryota; Metazoa; Arthropoda; Insecta; Diptera; Drosophilidae
Source: RNAcentral
AUUUUUUUAAAUACGCGGUCGCACUGAAAGUACUCUUUUGACAUCCGGCAGUAAUGUACCAACCACAACCACUCUGACUCGUGACGGUGAGUCUCUGAGGAAGAGUGGCUGAUCAGUCAUCUAAUUAGUAUUAGACCCUCACAGGGGGUCAACUGAGCCCUAAAUUUCGGUACCACGGGUUGUAUCAGCGUUCCAAGGCUGUGCAUUGAGGUCGGCCCCCUAGUGGGAGUAUCGUGGUGGCUGUGGUAGCCCAUAUGUUACGCGGGCAGAGCCGUUAAGUUCGACGUCUAGUUGCGUUUCUCAACCGGGUGCCGUGACCCAUUGAUCGGAAGAGGUGAUAGAUACACCUUCGCUCCUCACCAAGGGGAAAAGUAUGCCCGACUAGUAUACUUUCGAAUUGGUACCGGGCAGAGUCGCUAUGUAUUUGCUAUAGCUUCUUAUCCUGGGAAACUCAAUACCGUGGUUGAAAUCCCUUCCUGAGGAACCGCUACGUUAAAUAAGGGCUGAGAGAUCAGAAAAAAUAUGUACCUAUCUACUCGUUGCUCUCUGACUGCUACUGGAAGCAGACGUGUUUUGAAGCGUUCCGCCUUGCCGUCGGUUUUUCAGUGCGAAAGAGUGUGUUUUCCCUUUUUUAAUUAGUUGCCGAAUAGACGAAAUUACUAGCAAAUUAACAUUUGCCACGUGUUUCUCAAAAGCCACGUUUCUCUCAGAAGCCACGUGUUUCUCAGCU